Long non-coding RNA from Etheostoma cragini (Arkansas darter), 1367 nucleotides. RefSeq lists it as uncharacterized. The transcript has 3 exons. The record is from RefSeq and is a predicted model, not a curated record. Lineage: Eukaryota; Metazoa; Chordata; Actinopteri; Perciformes; Percidae.
AUCUUCCUUAGAGUAUACACACAACCAUGACCACUGAUUCCCAUUCAAAGCAGACAAACACACACACACACACACCAUGCCCACUAAUUCCCAUUCAAAGCAGUCACACAAACACACAUAUUUUACACACAGUUUAACCCUCCCUUCACUUCUUGGAUUUCAGUUCUCUCUUUCACUCUUAUCACCUCCCCCACCUUUUACCCCUGUAGGACCGUUUCUAUUGGCCGUUUUUCUCUUUCUCUUUGGGCUGCCCCGCCCCUUAAUCAACCCAACUAACAGUAAAGGUUAUAUUAACGUUGAUAAUCAGUUUCUGUAUGUAUUUAGCCUGAGUCUGGAAAAAAAACAAGAAAAAAAUCAAAACGGUUUUAUUCAAUUGUGCAAAUGUGUUUUCUUACUAUUUUUAAUGUUAUUACAUCUUCUAAUCUAAUCCUUCUACCAUUGCUUCAGUUAGUACUGAAAUACGCUUAGCCAACCUAGAGAUUUGAACUGUAAUGAUUGCGAUUUUCCUUACUUGUAUUUUAUAUGGCAUCUUUAGACCACCGUUUAUUAUGUACGUAAGUAAAUAUUGCCCCUUUUUUUUCUUCAAAAAUUGUCGUCUGCACUAUGAUACGAUUCUCAUAAUAUCCCUGAUAACUUCUUCGUGGUCGACUCAUAUUUAAUCUAAGCUGAACUCGCGCCCUUGCACAAAGCAGCGAAACAUCUCUUGUAAACACCUGAGAACCAAAGUACACCUAGCAUCCCCCUAUAAAGCCCCCCCCCCCCCAAAUAGUUCCCUGACAUCAAUGGUUUUCCCCGAGUAACAAGUUUUCUGAGUAUGAUUAUAUGUAAUGACAAUACAGCACGUGUGAUUUAUCUGACAAGUCUGUGAGGUAACGGUGUUUCUAAUAACACUGGUUGAUGUAGAGACGCUGACAGACAGGGAAACAAGGAAGUGUGUUUGUGUGGACAGUGAGUGAGUGGGCAGGUUUGUUUAGGUGUUGUGGGUGAAUUCAGCAUUCCUGUUGCUCGCUCGUGUUACUUCUCAUUGCUUGAAUUCAGGCCGUUUGAACCACUGCACAUGCUCAGAUCAACGCUAACACGCAGGAAGGAAGGACACCCAGCGAUUAUGCUUUCAGUCAUGCUGGGCUUUUGGCGCCCUCUUUAGCGUUUUCCUUACAUGUUAUCGUUGUGCUCUCUCAAACUUGCCUUUAACUUCCCAGACUCACUGAUGGAGCAACUUGUUGCUGUACUGAGUCUCUAAAUGUGUGGGCGUGAAGGCUGCUGAAAGCGACUGAAUUCUCCUCAAAACACAGAUCUGAGAUUAGUUGGCCUCCCGAUAGAUGGCAUACAGCUUGCAAGAAAUAAUUCACCAGUUUGGUGAUUAACUU